This 84-nucleotide small RNA is filed under the name Pedobacter alluvionis. RNAcentral describes it as "Flavo-1 RNA". The record is from RNAcentral. Lineage: Bacteria; Pseudomonadati; Bacteroidota; Sphingobacteriia; Sphingobacteriales; Sphingobacteriaceae.
AUCUAAACCUGACAGGAAUGGCAGCCUCCGUCCCGAUUUUACAUCGGGAAUUCGUCGGAGCUAUAAUGUAUGGCAGGGCCGAAG